CUACGGGCGGCAGCAGUGGGGAAUAUUGGACAAUGGGGGAAACCCUGAUCCAGCAAUGCCGCGUGUGUGAAGAAGGCCUGCGGGUUGUAAAGCACUUUCGGUUGGGAGGACUGCUUCUAGCACUAAUAUUGUUGGAAGUUGACGUUACCUUCAGAAGAAGCACCGGCUAGCUCCGUGCCAGCAGCCGCGGUAAUACGGAGGGUGCAAGCGUUAAUCGGAAUUACUGGGCGUAAAGCGCGCGUAGGCGGCUAGAUCAGUCGGGUGUGAAAGCCCCGGGCUUAACCUGGGAACUGCAUCCGAUAAUGUCUAGCUUGAGUACAGGAGAGGAGAGUGGAAUUCCACAUGUAGCGGUGAAAUGCGUAGAUAUGUGGAGGAACACCAAUGGCGAAGGCAGCUCUCUGGCCUGAUACUGACGCUGAGGUGCGAAAGCGUGUGGAGCAAACAGGAUUAGAUACCCCGGUAGUC
Molecule: ribosomal RNA, 465 nt
Filed under: uncultured bacterium
Lineage: Bacteria
Description: partial 16S ribosomal RNA
Rfam family: Bacterial small subunit ribosomal RNA
Source: RNAcentral